Molecule: long non-coding RNA, 472 nt
Filed under: Delphinapterus leucas (beluga whale)
Lineage: Eukaryota; Metazoa; Chordata; Mammalia; Artiodactyla; Monodontidae
Description: lncRNA (ENSDLEG00000017543.1)
Source: RNAcentral
AAGUAUAGUUAAUUUACAAUGUUUUUUUUUUAAUUGAAUAUUUUUCAUCUCAGCCCUUGAGACGGGAGAUGUAAUUGGCCCCUGCUGGGAGGUCUGCAGGCCUUGUCAGUGCCUUCAAAAGUGAUUGACUGUAAUCACCUUCUUUUCCUCCCUUGACUUGGGGAAAGGACACAACUUGACCAAGAGGCCACUGGAGCAACACCUGGACUGUGAAACCAGGUUGCACAGAAGUCCACCUCUCCUUCCUUCUCCAAGGCUGAGUGCGCAACCAGCGCCAUCCUCCCCGGUUGCCACCUUCUGAGGAGGCUUCCCGCUCCCACUGCCCAGCAAUCCUGUGAGGCAACGCAGGGGCUGAAGAAAGCCCGGUGAACACCCUGGAAGGUAGCCAGGGAUGGGGCAGGUCAGGAAGGCUCCUGGUUGGGCCUUUGCAUCAGGCCCAGGUUGAGCAUAAAGGAGGGUCCUGCGUGCUGGG